Small nuclear RNA from Cricetulus griseus (Chinese hamster), 106 nucleotides. Lineage: Eukaryota; Metazoa; Chordata; Mammalia; Rodentia; Cricetidae. The record is from Ensembl.
GUGCUCACUUUGGCAGCACAUAUACUAGAAUUAGAGCAAUACAGAGAAAAUCAGCAUGGCCUUAAGAAAGGAUGAGACACAAAUUCAUGAACUGUUCCAAAUUUUU